Molecule: transfer RNA, 82 nt
Filed under: Bacteroidota bacterium
Lineage: Bacteria; Pseudomonadati; Bacteroidota
Description: tRNA-Leu
Rfam family: tRNA
About the family: Transfer RNA (tRNA) molecules are approximately 80 nucleotides in length.
Source: RNAcentral
GCCGGGAUGGUGAAACUGGAAAACACAUCGGGUUUAAGCCCCGACGCCAUUGGGCUUGCGGGUUCGACUCCCGCUCUCGGCA